CCCUGCAUUCUGGGACAAGCCUUGGAAACGAGGUCUAAUACCGGAUACGACGCAUCUCCGCAUGGAGUGUGCGUGGAAAGCUCCGGCGAUGCAGGAUGAGCCCGCGGCCUAUCAGCUUGUUGGUGGGGUAAUGGCCUACCAAGGCGACGAUCGGUAGCUGGUCUGAGAGGAUGAUCAGCCACACUGGGACUGAGACACGGCCCAG
RNAcentral lists this ribosomal RNA (205 nucleotides) under uncultured bacterium. Its description in RNAcentral is "partial 16S ribosomal RNA". It matches the Rfam family "Bacterial small subunit ribosomal RNA", at positions 129 to 334 of the family's 1533-position model. The record is from RNAcentral.